This 1486-nucleotide long non-coding RNA is filed under the name Bos indicus x Bos taurus (hybrid cattle). Its description in RNAcentral is "lncRNA (ENSBIXG00000010519.1)". The record is from RNAcentral. Lineage: Eukaryota; Metazoa; Chordata; Mammalia; Artiodactyla; Bovidae.
ACCGGAUCCAUAGAAAAUGCUUACCACAUGCUAAGUAUCAGCAUUACUAUCUUUUUAGGUCUUGCAUUUUAAAAAUGGCAAGCCUGUCCCCUUUGUGCUUGAUAAGAACCCCUGAUGCUCAUGUGUUUGAACUCAUUCCUGGUCUCCUCUCUCUUCGCCCUGCCUCAGAUCUGACAGUGGAUGCUCCUUGUCCAGGACCAACCUUGUCUCUCUCUACACCUCUGAUAUGCCAGGAGACAAACUGCAUCAUCUGCCUCCAGCUCUUGGACUCCACGCUGGUCCUGGAAGGUAGGACAACAAAGUCACUGUUGGAACACAGGAAGCUGAGUGAGUCCAAAACCAGUCUCAGAUUGACCAUGGAAGAAAUCGUGCUUACUAGAAAAUGGACCAUGGGCCUGGAGUUGGAAAACCAAACAAACAACAGCAACAAAAAAGCUGUACCUUUUUUUUUAGAUUCCACAAAUAAGUAACAUUGUAUAUUUGUCUUUCUCUGUCUGACUUACUUCACCCAGUAUGACAAUCUUGGUCCAUCCAUGGUGUUGCAAAAAGCAUUAUUUUAUUCUUUUUUAUGGCUGAGUAAUAUUCCAUUGUAUAUAUAUGUGCCACAUCUUCUUUAUCUAUUCCUCUGUGGAUGGACACUUAGGUUGCUUCCAUGUUCUAGCUAUUGUAAAUAGUCCUGCAAUGAACAUUGGGGUACAUGUAUCUUUUCCAAUUAUGGUUUUCCUCAUGUAUAUGCCCAGGAGUGAGAUUGCUAGAGGAACCAAAUACAUUUGGUUUGUUUGUUUACCCUUUCUUGCUUCAAGCUGUUGUUUUGUUGCUGGAUAUACAGCCUGAUAAGAUCUUGGUAAAAAUCAGUUGGAUAUUAGAAAAUAUAACCAAGAACACAUCGCAUAUUCCAGUUGGAUGAAAAUUUAUACACAACCGGUGUCAGUUUCCUCUCCUAAAUCAGAAAUCACUUCUGUCCAUUCAAUUCUUUCUCCCCUUGACAUCUGAGUUUCUACUCAGUCCCAGGCAUUAUGAUGGGCAAUGUGUCUAAAGAGCUAAACAACUGAGAACAAAAGAAGUUUAUCAUAUAGAUGCAGAAAGAGGCAGGUUAACAGGUAACCUGUAAAAUCUGGGGAGGUCAAGUUCAAGACACUGAAUUUAGGCUGGACCAUGAAGGUGAUCACAGACUUUCUCAAGUAGGGACAACUGAGAUGGAUCUUGAUGGAUGUGUAGGAGUUUUCCCCUAUCCAGCGAAGGAGGUUUCCCAAGGCAUUCCUCAUGAGGAGAGUCUCUCUCCUUUUCUAGUCAUUAACCAUGUGGGAGCAGUUGUUGGAAAACUUCUGGAACCCAAAUACACCUUCCUGUAACACUUCUCUUAUCUCUGGUUUUGUCUUUUGGAAAAACUCUUCUUUUUACAGAAUUCCAUCAGACAGUUGAAGAUAGUCUUUAUGUCCAUUGUAACUCUCCCCCAUAAAAAUAAACAUCUUGUAAUCACUCCUCA